AAGAUGGCUGCCGUGGGACUGCAUGGUUAGCUGCCUAAAAAGCGGCAGCGAAGAAGAAAAGGGCGGAAGUUUGUAAUAGAAGGAACGACGAUAGGGAAAAGUGCUAGUUUGUGUGAUCUUGGUCGCAAAAAGAGGACAUUAAAUCGUUGAAAGAGUUGAUAAGGCUGUCGAAAAAAACCGAUGGCGUCGUCCGAGGAGCAAGUGUGUCGAGCGUGGGAAGAGAACGAGCGGCAGCACGACGACAGUUUCUUGGCUCCGAUCGUGUUGCACAUUCAAGACAUCCAUCAGCUGAUUGGUCGCCAAGAGGAACUUCCCCCUCGUCCGCAGGCAAGGAGCUCCAGUGUGGACAAUCCACAGCCCUGCCACAUUAAAGAGGAAGAGGAGGAGGUGGACGUCAGCGAGUUACCACUGACUGUCGUCGUUGUGAAGAGCGAAGACGACCAAGAUGAAGCACCCGAGUGGUCAGAGCUUCAUCAUCACAGUCCAAGCGGAGACCACCGUGGAGCACCACCACUACGCAAGCUCUUAGCUCCACUGUCACAUAGUCACAGCACGGAAAAACCCUUGAAGAGCGAUGCAGACUGUAAGGGUGAUGAGAAACACUCCAAAAAGGAGACGACUCUUGACAAGAAAACAUCUCACGCACACACGAGAGGUCACGGACCAAAAGAAUCUUUAACCUGCUCAGUUUGUGGUCGAAGACUAUUGAAAAAGUCAGACAUGGAGGUACACAUGAGAACGCACACAGGUGAAAAAACAUUUAGUUGUUCAGUUUGUGGCGAUAAAUUCCGCCACAAGGUCUCUUUGGUUGCCCACACAGCAACACAUACGGGAGAAAAACUUUUCACUUGCCCCUUUUGUAAAAAAAGCUUUUCUUAUAAGCACCGUUGGAAAGCACACAUACAGACGCACACGGGAGAAAAACCUUUCAGCUGCUCAGUUUGCAAUGAAAGCUUUUCAUAUAAGUAUGAUUUGACAAGACACGUGAGAACACACACAAGAGAGAAACGCUUUAGUUGUUCAGUUUGUGGUGAAAGCUUCGCACAAAAGGCCAAUUUGAUUGCACACAGCAUAACACACUUAGAAAAUCCUUUUACCUGCUCAGUUUGUGGUAAAAGAUUUGCGGUAAAAGACAACAUGAGUCGACACAUGAGAACGCACACUGGAGAAAAACCUUAUUGUUGCUCAGUUUGUGGCGAAAAAUUUGCUCACAAGGCCUCUUUGACUGCGCACACGGCAACACACACGGGAGAAAAACCAUACACGUGCUCAGCUUGUGGUAAAAGCUUUUCCUAUAAGCAGAAUUUGAAUGCACACAUGCGGACACACAACGGAAAAUAAACCUUUAUCUGUGCUAAAACAUGCACCCCCUCCCCUCCCUAUUUCCCAUUUGAGGCCAUUUCACUUUUGCCAGAGAUUUAUGGAAAUACAGUAUAUAGGUCAUUCUCAUACAAUUUGAUUAAUAACUGAAGGCAUACACCACUGAUUUUCAUUUGGAAAAUCAAUACAUUUCACUGAUAUGAGUAUUUGAAUUAUUGCCAGUCGUUAUCAGUCACGGGGGGUGCUGGAGCCUAGCCUAGCUACUGUCUUCAUGAAAACAAAGUUCUAAAGUAGUAUUUUUCACUCUUUUAAUGCCAAAAACGUCUCUAUCGUUAUGUGUCCCAAAUGAAAUUUCAUGAUUUGUAACAUGUUGUCUGAAGAUGCUAAUUACAUUUCGGGUUAUAUAGGAUUUUUCCCCUAUUGCUAAAUAUAGGUUUUCCAAGAAAACUUCCACAGAUGCAUCUUAGUGUCUUAAUCUGAAUCUUGUAUUUUUGGGAAGUCAAGAAUUCAAGUCCAAUAAAUAGCUUGAAAUGGUACAAACUAAAAUAAGUGGUGAACCACCAGAGGUUAAAAAAACUGGGCAAAGUUACCCAAAACUGAGAAAUAAUCUACAUUUCAGAUUUAUUCAAAACUGGACAAAAGAGUGAAAGCAAUACAAGCUACAAGUACCACACAAUUAUGGGAACGUCCGCAACAGAGUUGGGAGGAACUUUCUGAAGAAUAGUUGAUUUCCAUUUUAGAGUUAAUGCCACAAGUUUGUUCAGCUGUUAUAUCUGCCCAAGGUGGCUUCUUUAAUGAGUCAAAGAUUUAGAAUACAUUUUUGUUUGUAGAUUGAUUCCAUGAUUUCUUUUGUAACUUGAAUCAUUUUUUUUUGCUCUGCGCCUUCACUUGAUUGUAAAAGAGGAUUUGAACUGCAUAAAUUUCUUUUUUAAAAACUGGAAAAUAUGGGGUGUUUAAAAACAUUUGACCGGUCGUGUAUGUUAUUGCAAUUAGUAUUUUUAAUGCUUCAUUUGAAAACAUUGGCAAAAUUCCUUAACCCAUGCAAUCCCAUACAGUGCAGUGCAGUCAAGUGUUGCUUUUUCCCAUAUUUUUUUUAAGGAUCAUAUUGAUGACACCCACAAUGAGCAGUACAGAGCUGAUGACCUGAGGAAAUUAAAACCGAAUGCUGUGCCUACACUGUUCAUGUUCACGCCACUUAGAAAGAUUGCGCGGCCCUAGGAGAUGUCUUGAGCGAAGCAGAGAUCAGUUGUCGUCUUAACUGUCAAAGAGGAUACGAAUUGAACAUUGAUAUUGUCUGUCAUCUCUUCCACCUGACACCCGGGAGAAGCCAAUUUGCCAUAGUGAAGAUGGUAAUUAUGUUGUAAAAAGAAUUAACGCACAAACCUAUCAAUAUCAGGUGUCUUUUAUAGAACUCCAAAGUGAUCUAUGAAUAAGAGGGUCUGUCAAAUAUUUACUAAAAAAAUCCACGACUAGGUGACGAUAAUAUAAAAGCAAAGUAGAAUAGAAAAGUACAUGUAUCCCAAAUUAUUUUAAUCUAAAGCAUUGUACACAUUGUUUACAUUGACUACGGCUCUGGUCCCGGUAGCCGUGUUUCAAUACCGUUGCAAGAUGGCUGCCGCACAAGCAUCAUCGAAGAAGAAACAGGCGGAAGUUGACGAGACUUCCAAUGGACUACGAGAGACAGAAGUGCGAGCUUGAAGUUGUGUUGUUAUGGUCACUAAACUAAAAUAGCAGUCUACUGAAACAUUUUAAUGGGCUCGUCUUAUUGUAAGGAACCGUUGAAGAGUUUGAAAGAACUAUGGCGUCGUACGAGGAGCAAGUUUGCCGAGCAAGCGAUGAGAAGGAGCGACAACCACAACAACAGGACGCCAUUUGCUUUACUCCGAUUGUCUUGCACAUAAAAGACGUCCAACAGCUGUUGGCUGGGAGCUUCAGUUCAGAGCGUCCACAGCCCCCCCAUGUCAGAGAGGAAGAGGAGAAGCUAAUAGCCCCCCGAAUUAAAGAAAAAGAAGAGGAUCCACAAUCCCCCCACGUCAGAGAGGAAGAGGAGGAGCCACUAUCCCCCAGUGUUAAAGAAGAAGAGGAGGAUCCACAGCCCCCCCACGUUAAAGACGAAGAGGAGGAGAUUGAUGUCAGCCAGUUGCCACUGAACGUCGUCGUUGUAAAGAGUGAAGACAACAAAGACGAAGCACCCGAGUGGCCACAGCUUCACCAUGACAGUCUAAGUGGAGGACCCCCACCAGCCAACCUCUUAGCUCCACUGUCACACAGCGACAACAUGGAAGAUACAAGCGAUGCGGAUUGUGAAGGUGACAACAAAGACUUUGAAAAGAAAUCAAGUAAUGAACGUUGUAGAUGCUCACUUUGUGGCAAAGGUUUUUCUUACGAGUGCAUUUUGAUUCGACACAUGCGGAAGCACACGGGAGAAAAACCCUUCAGUUGUGGAGUUUGUGCUAAAAGAUUCACUCAAAAGGUACAUUUGGAAUCACACGCGAGGACACACACGGGAGAAAAACCCUUCAGUUGCUCAGUUUGCGGUAAAAGUUUUGCUCAAAAAGGAACAAUGAUUAGACACAUGACGACACACACUGGACGACCUCCGGACGACGUUUUGGCUCCACUGUCACAGAGCGACUACAUGGAAGAACCUUUGCAGAGCCACACAGACUGUGAAAAUGCGCACCUGAGAACACACACAGGAGAAAAACCCUUUAGUUGUUCAGUUUGUGGCGAUAGGUUCCAUCACAAUGUCGCUUUGAUUGCGCACACGGCGGCACACAUGGGAGAAAAACCUUACACAUGCUCAGUUUGCGCUAAAAGCUUUUCUCGUCGGCACCAUUUGAAAGAGCACGUGUGGACGCACCGCGAAGAAAAACGCUUCAGUUGCUCGGUUUGCGGCGAAGGCUUCAGGUACAAACACAAUUUGACACCGCACAUGAGAACGCACACGGGAGAAAAACCUUACACUUGCUCUGUGUGCGACGAGCGCUUUUCCCAUAAGUACAACAUGACGAGACACAUGACGACGCACACAAAAGAAAAACCUUUCAGUUGUUCAGUUUGCGGUAGCAAGUUUGCUCACAAGAUCACUUUGAUUUUACACACAGCCACACACAUGCAGAAACACAACGGAGAAUAAAUGCGGCGACCCUUUUUUCAGCAUUUUCAGUUUUUCUCUGAGGACUUUAUGAAACUGAUUUAAAAAAAAAAGAUGAACAAAUGGUAUUAUUAUGACCGUUUGUGGGUUACAUUUUUGUUUUGGGCUUUUUAUAGCACUUCCUGUGAGGCUUUAGUUGCUGUUUUAAAAUUAUUUAUUGAACAUAUACAAACAUUUCAACACAGGACAGGCCAUACAACAAUAGGAACAUAAAAUAAUAUAAAUAAUAUGAAUAAACAAACAAAUAGAAUGCAGCAGUAGAUUUUGUCCUUUGAUCCAAAUGUACACGUUCAAUAGGUGUAGGAAGAAGUAAAACACACUUUGUUUAUUCUUCUCUUGGAUUUUUUUUAAAUACACCUGUUCCCCUGAGAUUGUAACAACUCUCUCUAAUUUCAAACAACUUCUCAGUACUGUGGCUAAGUCAAUUGUUGUGUAUUUUAUACAUUACCUGUGCUGUUUUGAAUUCAACUAAGUCGUAAGAAUUCAUUUUAGAAAUUCCGUUCGACUGUGUCCUCAGUCACAGAUAACAUGGGUGAGAGACACAUUCCUAAUAUUUGUUGUCGUUUUCCAAGGGUAAAUGUGUUUAUUAAGUAUGGUGUGAUUGGUGUUUUAUUUAUUUUAUCAGUUGUAACAUCUGGUAAACAUCUGUUCUUUAGUUUCAAUAAAACACGUGUUAAGUGUGCAUAAUCA
Molecule: RNA transcript, 5167 nt
Organism: Phyllopteryx taeniolatus (common seadragon)
Lineage: Eukaryota; Metazoa; Chordata; Actinopteri; Syngnathiformes; Syngnathidae
Gene name: zinc finger protein OZF-like
Exons: 3
Source: RefSeq, a predicted model, not a curated record